AGGCGGGACUAAUACAUGCAAGUCGAACGGCAGCACAGCAGAGCUUGCUCUGUGGGUGGCGAGUGGCGGACGGGUGAGGAAUACAUGGGAAUCUGCCCAGUCGUGGGGGAUAACGUAUGGAAACGUACGCUAAUACCGCAUGCGCCCUACGGGGGAAAGUCGGGGACCGCAAGGCCUGACGCGAUUGGAUGAGCCCAUGUUCGAUUAGCUAGUUGGCGGGGUAAAGGCCCACCAAGGCGACGAUCGAUAGCUGGUCUGAGAGGGAUGAUCAGCCACACUGGAACUGAGACGCGGUCCAGACUCCUACGGGAGGCAGCAGUAGGGAAUAUUGGACAAUGGGCGCAAGCCUGAUCCAGCCAUGCCGCGUGAGUGAAGAAGGCCCUCGGGUUGUAAAGCUCUUUUGUCCGGAAAGAAAAGCAAUCGGUUAAUACCCGGUUGUUCUGACGGUACCGGAAGAAUAAGCACCGGCUAACUUCGUGCCAGCAGCCGCGGUAAUACGAAGGGUGCAAGCGUUACUCGGAAUUACUGGGCGUAAAGCGUGCGUAGGUGGUUCGUUAAGUCUGAUGUGAAAGCCCUGGGCUCAACCUGGGAAUGGCAUUGGAUACUGGCGGGCUAGAGUGCGGUAGAGGGUAGUGGAAUUCCCGGUGUAGCAGUGAAAUGCGUAGAGAUCGGGAGGAACAUCUGUGGCGAAGGCGACUGCCUGGACCAGCACUGACACUGAGGCACGAAAGCGUGGGGAGCAAACAGGAUUAGAUACCCUGGUAGUCCACGCCCUAAACGAUGCGAACUGGAUGUUGGGUUCAACUUGGAACUCAGUAUCGAAGCUAACGCGUUAAGUUCGCCGCCUGGGGGAGUACGGGUCGCAAGACUGAAACUCA
RNAcentral lists this ribosomal RNA (878 nucleotides) under uncultured Gammaproteobacteria bacterium. RNAcentral's name for it is "bacterial SSU rRNA". It matches the Rfam family "Bacterial small subunit ribosomal RNA", at positions 40 to 903 of the family's 1533-position model. Lineage: Bacteria; Pseudomonadati; Pseudomonadota; Gammaproteobacteria. The record is from RNAcentral.